Molecule: long non-coding RNA, 294 nt
Filed under: Elaeis guineensis (African oil palm)
Lineage: Eukaryota; Viridiplantae; Streptophyta; Magnoliopsida; Arecales; Arecaceae
Description: long non-coding RNA (EGUI_LNC020673)
Source: RNAcentral
ACCUCUUCAUUUUCAUCAAAGAAUGGAUGUUCUGGCAACACUCCAUGAGAUGCAACUUUAUCAUCAUCGAAUGCAUCAACCAACCCAAAUUCAAAAAUAAGAGAUGUCUUGUGUGCUAAGACAUCAUCUUUCGUACUGGACUCCUCACUAUCACUACCAUCAGACUCCACAUCAUCAUCUUCAUCUUCAUCAUCAGUAGGAUUAGGAUCAUAACUAAUAGUGACUUCAUUUUUGAAUAAAGUUGUAUCGGUCGUUAUGGUUUCUAAUCCACCAACCCGGAUAUGGCAUGUAUGC